GAUGAACGCUGGCGGCGUGCUUAACACAUGCAAGUCGAACGGAACACCUUUUCUUGUAGCUUCGGUUGCAAGUAGAGACUGUUUAGUGGCGGACGGGUGAGUAACGCGUGAGCAACCUACCUUUCGGAGGGGGACAACAGUUGGAAACGACUGCUAAUACCGCAUAAUGUGCUCUGAUCGCAUGAUUGGAGAACCAAAGAUUUAUCGCCGAAAGAUGGGCUCGCGUCUGAUUAGCUAGUUGGUAGGGUAGAGGCCUACCAAGGCAACGAUCAGUAGCCGGACUGAGAGGUUGACCGGCCACAUUGGGACUGAGAUACGGCCCAGACUCCUACGGGAGGCAGCAGUGGGGAAUAUUGGGCAAUGGGCGCAAGCCUGACCCAGCAACGCCGCGUGAAGGAAGAAGGCUUUCGGGUUGUAAACUUCUUUGACAGGGGAAGAAAGCAAUGACGGUACCCUGAGAACAAGCCACGGCUAACUACGUGCCAGCAGCCGCGGUAAUACGUAGGUGGCAAGCGUUAUCCGGAUUUACUGGGUGUAAAGGGCGUGUAGGCGGGACGGCAAGUCAGAUGUGAAAACUAUGGGCUCAACCCAUAGCCUGCAUUUGAAACUGUCGUUCUUGAGUGAUGGAGAGGUAAGUGGAAUUCCUAGUGUAGCGGUGAAAUGCGUAGAUAUUAGGAGGAACACCAGUGGCGAAGGCGACUUACUGGACAUUAACUGACGCUGAGGCGCGAAAGCGUGG
This 739-nucleotide ribosomal RNA is filed under the name uncultured bacterium. RNAcentral's name for it is "bacterial SSU rRNA". It matches the Rfam family "Bacterial small subunit ribosomal RNA", at positions 28 to 764 of the family's 1533-position model. The record is from RNAcentral.